This 335-nucleotide small RNA is filed under the name Arabidopsis thaliana (thale cress). RNAcentral's name for it is "ATSL260770". The record is from RNAcentral. Lineage: Eukaryota; Viridiplantae; Streptophyta; Magnoliopsida; Brassicales; Brassicaceae.
UUUGCAUUGGCCAGACGUUAUCGACUCAUUUGAUUUUGUAAGUUCAUUGAAAAUCUUGUUCGUUAGUCCGAUUGUCUUGAUACGUUUUUUUAUGGAGACUGAAUUGCAGAUUCGCCGUCAAGUUCAGAGAUGGGAAAAGCUAGUCGCCAGAUUCCGAUUUACGUCGAUACGUUCGGAGAAGAUAGUUCGGUAGAGACGGAUGUCAAUGUAUCCGCCGUUGUAACCGAACAACAACAGGUGGUGACAAAGGUUUCAGAGAGUGGUGUGAUCGAGACUAACCGCCGGGCUGCUAGCGAGGAUAGGAUGACGCGACUUUCAGAUGCUCAAGCUAGGAA